RNAcentral lists this ribosomal RNA (334 nucleotides) under Wolbachia endosymbiont of Aedes albopictus. Its description in RNAcentral is "bacterial SSU rRNA". It matches the Rfam family "Bacterial small subunit ribosomal RNA", at positions 148 to 516 of the family's 1533-position model. The record is from RNAcentral. Lineage: Bacteria; Pseudomonadati; Pseudomonadota; Alphaproteobacteria; Rickettsiales; Anaplasmataceae.
UGUUGGAAACGGCAACUAAUACCGUAUACGCCCUACGGGGGAAAAAUUUAUUGCUAUUAGAUGAGCCUAUAUUAGAUUAGCUAGUUGGUGGAGUAAUAGCCUACCAAGGCAAUGAUCUAUAGCUGAUCUGAGAGGAUGAUCAGCCACACUGGAACUGAGAUACGGUCCAGACUCCUACGGGAGGCAGCAGUGGGGAAUAUUGGACAAUGGGCGAAAGCYUGAUCCAGCCAUGCCGCAUGAGUGAAGAAGGCCUUUGGGUUGUAAAGCUCUUUUAGUGAGGAAGAUAAUGACGGUACUCACAGAAGAAGUCCUGGCUAACUCCGUGCCAGCAGCC